GAGCAGCACACAUCCAGCACAGCACCAGGCACUGCCGUGGGCUCAGCCCUCCAAACCCAAAGGCUUGCACUGCGCUGGGCCACCUGCACAGCACUCAGGUUGGUGUUCACCCCGCUUGGUGUCCCCUACUGAUAUACAGGAGCACCCAAGGUGGUUCCAGAGCUGCACAGAGCUCCUGUGCCAGGCCGGGAGGUUGGGCUGCCCUGGGUGUGUGCUCUGGUGCUCAGCUGGGAGGGCACAUCAGGUCCGUGUGUCCACAUUUGAACCUGGGCUGCUAUCUGUUACCUGAUGCUGACAGCCCGCAAUCACCGCUGGCCUCUCCCCGUGCACAGAGGUGCUCACAGAGCCCAAAGUGUCAGAGAUAUUCAGGGCAGCAGCCAAGGAGCACUGCACAGCGCUGUGGGUCUUCAUACCUCGGGAAGCGUUGCCCAACAGAAUUGAAACAGCAGCUGAUGGUUUCCCAAUUAUUGCUUAAUAACGAGCAGCUCCUCCCCUGCCCCCAGACAGCAAACAGUGCACAGUGCUGCGGUGACGGAGCUGCUGAGCGAUGCCUGCUGCACCCUCCUGCUUUUCUCCUACCUCCAAGCUGGGGAGAUCCCCACCGCUCUGCUGUGCGUUUCACCUCCUCUUCGCCCAUUAAGAGGCCCUCUGUGCUCAGCAGGACGUUGGGAUGGGGCUCUUGCUGCUCUGUGCGUGGCAGCAGCUGAAGGCACGCGUUUUCUGCCUGCAUUUUUUGCUGACAGCCGGCAUCAAAGCUAUUCCUUUUAAAUGUCUGAUGCUGUAUCUCGUUGCAGGAGGCUGUGUUGGGUUACUCCUUGCCACAUACCACUGCGAGAGGGUGUGUUAUUUAAAGAACCAGUGCUUAGCAAACCUCACUCCCUCACCCCGUUGGAUAACUGUGCUAUAAGCACGAGUGGCCUUGCUUUUCUUUCCAAUGGCUGCGUUUUUAAAGGCACCCAGAUUAGAAACCAAUUUGCAGGUAAGGGAAGCAUCGCCUCUGGGGUUUUCUGCUGGCUCAGUCGCAGCAUGGCAGCGGGCAUGAGCUGCUGUGCAUCUGGAUACGGGAGUUUGGGUCUAUGCCACUGCUUUGGGGCAGGUUGGGAUUCCAUGCAAGCCUUUGGGCCUGCAAAGAGCAAGGCUUUUGGAGAAGCUCCCUCUGCCUCAAUGCAAAAAGCUCCGGAGCCACGCUGCCCCUUCCCACCAUCCCACAUCAGCCAAAGCUUCCUUCUAAGCUGCAAAUGAAUUAUUGAUGCAAUUAUUCAUCCUCAUUUAAACAUCUAUUUUGUGGCAUUUAAAUAACAGCGCUCAGAAUAUGUCAACAGUUUACACAAUAAUUUGGAUUCUGAUCUUUAUACCUCUGUUUUCUCCCACACAAAUAAUUGGAACUCAUCCAUUCUAAGUGACAAUUGCAGAUAAGCAUCGCUCUUUUUUUUUCCUGUUGCACAUGUGCAUUAUCUAAAUAUAUUAAAACACUCCAUUUUAAAUUCAUUUGAAUGAUUAAUCAGUUACUCGGCUGUAAUUGUUUGUGUUAAGACAACUCAGAUUAGAAAACAGAUCAGGGAGACAAUUAGGAAGGCAAGCAGUGUGAAAUCGCUGUCGAUAGCUGCGUGUGAGCGGCUGAGGAUGCAGCGCUGUGCUGCAGAGCAGUGGCGUUCUGCUGUGGGCUCCGUGCACCCCAGUGUGGGACCGGCACUGUGCUGGGACCCCGGGCUGGCACUGGUCUGGGGGGCUGCGUGGGAUGGGAUGGAUGCUGCUGCUCCCAUAGGGAUGCAAUGGGGUGCCAAGGCUGGGCUUCGUGUGGGGACCUGGAUCCAUCCCAAGCUGCAGAAAAGGGGAAACAUUGGAAAAACCCCAUGAGGAGAGGAGAAUAGGAGGGCUCUCGGCUGGGCAUGGUGCAGCUCUGCAGCCAGUGUGUUUUGCCCAACCACAGCAGCGGGGCUACAGCAGGAUGCACCCAUCCCCACAUCCCUCCCUGCAGGUUCUCAUUGAUCAUCCCACUGUAUUAAUUACCCCUGGGAUACUCCACUUACCCUGAGCAGCUGCAGCUCCUCUCCUCCCGCAGGGCUUUGCUCUGCUUCAUGCCCAGAUAGGAGGGAGUUGGGCUCUAACGUCACAGCUCGGGCUCUGACCACCCCGGCACAAAGCUUGCUGGCAGCGAGGCGAUGACAAGUGGCACUGACCCAUGCUGGCAUCACUCCCAUGCCCCCCCCCAGCCCGGCUGAUCCCCCCGCUCUCCCCCCCAAGUUGGAACAGAGGCUCUCCCAGGCUGUGCUGUCCCCAUCGUGAAGGAGUGGUUUGGCACUACCCUGGGUGAAAAUGCGGCAUAAGGAGCCAGAACAGGCGCUGGCCAGAGGGAGCUGGGUGGCAGCCAGGGGCUUGGCCCCAUCCCCAGCAGCAGGAGGUCUGCCCUUAAAUGUGUGCUUUAAGGAGAAAGCACUUCAGACAGCUCACCCCGAGCUGUCAGCCCACGCUGUGCCCCCCACCCUGCAGAACCUGGGUUGCUUUGCUUCGAUCCCAGAGCCCUGCCUGGUGAUGGAUGGCAGUGCUCAGACACACAGCCCCGCUGCUUCACUGCAAUUUGUAUUUCUGGCUUCAAGGAGGAACGCUGGAGCUGCCCUAAUGCUUCUUGUUGUUGAAGUGCCUCAGCACUUUCUGGGCUCCUUGGCUCAGGAGAGGAAUCAGGUUUUGAUUUUGCUGAUCAUUACCAGAAGCAAUGCAAGCAGGGUUUGUGAGCUGGGAGCCGAGAGGCCACCUGCACUCAUGCGAUGAUCUGCACCACCACUGCACUGAUGUGGUUACAAAAGCCUGCUGGCUGUGGUGAGAAGGGUGCAUGGCUUGAAGGCAGCAGCAGGACAAAGCAGUUUUGCAAAACCUGCAGAUAAGAAGCAGCGGUGCAGCCCUGAGCUGUGCACCCAGCUGCACCUGCAGCACAGAGCAGCAGCAAAGUGCAAGUGGCUGCUGGUGGAGGACCACAGAACCAUCGAAUAUCCCACGCUGGAAGGGAUGCAUCAGGGCUGCCACGCAGCCAUCCUACAGCCAGACGCUGCCGUGAUGCAUGGAGCUCGUUCCCCAUCACCAGCAGCUCGAGCAAAGUCGGCUGUAAUGAAAAACCAAUAUUUCCCACAAUCCCCUCCAUAAUGACUUUAGCACAUUGAUGAGCUGGGAGCUGCACGCUGCAGGGCCAGCUGCAUGCAGAGGGGUGCAGCGAGCGCCGACAGCAGGCCCCAGAUUCCUGUUUGCUAACAGAGAGCUCGGCACGACGACUGCUGCAUUGCCCCGCCACGCACACCCAUGCACACUUCUUGCAGUCCCGCUGCACCCACCAGCAUUCCCUUGCAAAAAGCCAGCAGCGUCCAUCAGCACCGUGCUCAGCAAAAGGGAGCAGCGCUCUGAAGGCUCCUUAAGCAAACCCACAAACCCACCCCUGGCAGCAGUUUUCCCUGCUGUCCCCACAUCAGCUGCAGGAGGUGCUGCGAGCAGUUCGUACACAGACAGCUUUUGUUCUGCUCCUGGAGAGAUCCCCCAACCCCUUCAAAGCCACUCAGCCUCUUGUACUAUUAUUACUUUUUUUUGGACUCCAGUAAGGGGAAAAACAUCUUUCAUUUGUCCUAAUUUAAUGCUGUUAAUGAGAUUGAUGCUGCAGGCUGCCCAUAACGUCAGCAAGACGUGUGGGUCAAGCACCCUCCAUUAACAGCAGCACCCAGCCCACAGCCAUGACCCUGCUAUCAGGGGGCAGGCCCUUUGGCAGCAGCACAGCGUUUUACCAGCCCUGUUCUCACCCGGUUUUCAUUUUCUUUCCUAUUUUUGCAGCUCUGCUCCAUUAAUCUUCUUCCUGGCAUCAGUUUUCUGAAGCCUCGGUAUGUAAUGCGUUCAGCAGCACUGCGCGUUUGCUUUUUAUUUCUCCUUCUCCCCUAGGUCUCGUUGGCUUUGUAACAAGGCACAGAACGACCUGAUGAUGGGAAGGAUGUACAGAUGCUUCUCAGUUGGGCACUGUGUGGCUCUGAGCGCUCACCUCGAGCUGCUGGCUCUGCCCCCAGGUGCUCCCCCGUUGGCAGGAGGGAUGCUGCUGCUCCUGUCACAGCUGUCCCCUUAUGGCUGCAGAACCCUUGCUCGGGGCUCCUGAUACCCAGGGCUGGUCCAGGUGCUCCUGGAGUCCGGCCAGCUGUGAUAAAUCUCCUUAAUUGCAGCUCAUUGUAAUUAUGCUUUAUAUGGAGCUGAUGCUAUUACUGCUGGGUGCUUUGGCCUGAUCAAUCCUAAGCAGGAGAUCUCUAGCCCUCCUUGGGGGCUGGGGACAUUGAGCUCCAGGGUUUGCUGGGGCUGGUGGAGCUGGCUUUCAGCCCUGUGCUGCAAUGGGCAGAGUGCAGGAGCAAAGGUAGUGGGGAGAUGGCCAUCCGUACCUCACUUCAUUUUGGUACUGUCCACCCAAGAACCUGUCUGGUGCGUGUGCAGAACCUUCAGCAUUAAUGACCCUCUGAAAGGUAAGCAAUCAGAGAAUCAUUACGGUUGGAAAUGGCAUCUGAGAUCCCCACCCCACCAUGCCCACUGACCACAUCCCUCGGUGCCACAUCUCUAUGUUCCCUGAGCAUCCCCAGGGAUGGAGACCUCCACCGCUCCCUGGGCACCCUGUGCUGGUGCAUUACAGCUCUUCAGAGAAGAAAUGUUUCCAGAUGUCCAGCCUGAUCCUCUCCUGGUGCAAUGUGGGACCAUCACCUCUCAUCCUAUCAACACCACUGCCAUCUCCAGCCCUUCUCUAAGCGCUCCAUGCAUCCACAGCGGGAAAUGCCCCACGGUCUCUUCCCACCCAGCAGCGGGCGCUCCCGACCCGGGGUGCUCCAUGGAUCAUGGCACGGCUCCAUCUGGCUGAUCCCAAGGAAUGCCCGGGCGCAGCCGCAGCUCCGGGGGAUUAAACUGAAGUCUAACGUUACACCCCUUGGAAGAGCAGAGCUUUACUUGGAAACCGAAUCGCAUUAAUUAGCAUUCUGCUAAUGGCUGUUUUGUAUAAAUAUAGUGUGCCUUAAUACCAACACGAGUCGCAGGUUGACAUAUUUAGAUCGCUGAUAUCAAAGUCAUUAACGCCUCUCCGUGGUAAACCUAUUCUCAGUUCGGGCUGCAAAUGGGAUUCUCCUGAGCCAAUCAAUCUUCCUAAAGCCUGAGCAGAGCCUGUUGAUCUUUAGCCACUGAAUGGAUGCAGCUUCCCAGAAAUGUGCUUGCAUCUGUCAGAAUUAUAAGCAGCUGGCAGCCCCAGACAGGGGUCAUAUUUGCCGUGAGUGUGAAAAUAGGAUCCCAGGACAAGAAAUGCUACUUAGCAGCGUAUCGAUUCUGGGCGUGCUAUUAAUGUUGCAGCACAAUGCGUGUGUGUGUCCGUGCAGGCACUCCUGCACAUGCCAAUUAUGUAUUUAUACGCAAGGUCUCCUCUCACACAGACCCCGUGGUCCUGGAGCUGAUCCAGGGCUUAUUAAAACUUGGUGACAUCAAAGGAUGGGAAAGGUCUGCCCGAGCUGAGGAACUCGGAGAGCUUAACAAUUAUUUUGCCUUAAUUCCCUCCUAAUUUAUCGUCUUUUUAUUGCCCUGAUUAAAAGCUCCCCUGUUUGAUAGCGGCACCGAAGGUAAUGGCGUUCUUCCGAGACUGAUGGGUGGCAAUUCCAGCAGGGGCUGCUGCCAUCUGUGGGGCACUGCUGUGGGUUUCUGUCACAGCGUUGCCACCACAGCCACACUGCCAGCGCAGUGCCAUCCCUGUGCUGCUCUGUGUGCCAGGCUGUGCGCUCAGCAUCGUGGCUCCUCAUGGCGCAGCCCCACAGCUCGACCCGGUGCUCAUCGCAGUGCUGUUCCGUGCUGGUUAUUAUUAGAUGGCAGUGACACGGAUCAAAGCACGUAAGCCCAACUUCUGAAGCACGCAACCACCAACCUCGUCCAGGAGAUCUUGCUCAUUGCUGCAGCUUAGGGCCAAGCGUUUUAGCUUGAGCGUUUUCAGCCUUGGAUUACAAAUUGCAACACUUCUGAAGUCUGUGGGACUCAGCGCCUUCAGUUUCCAUGCUGGGGAUGGUGAAGGGAUACUCCUGCAUCUGUUCCAUGAGAUUGCCAAGCAGCACAAUGGGAAACAUGCUGGGCAACAAAUGGGAAUGGGCCGGCAGCAGUGAGAGCUGACUUUGUCAGUGGAGUUUUUUGGUGUUAUUUUUCUAAUUUUUUUCUUUUUCUUUGGUUGGGAGGACAUAAUAACACCUGUGCUUGGCUGAUGGAUGUUAAAUAAUGCUCCUUUCCUGGAUUGAGGCAGACGGCAUGUAACACUGAGGUCUGUGUGCUGCACUGAUUACCCUGAGCCCCUGUUUGGGUUGUCUGGGGCUGAGCUGCUCUCCCUGGAGCUCUGGAGCGGCUGCAGUUCACCAUCGGAAGUUUCUAGAAUUGGACCCAUCAGUAAAGGUAUUGCACAAAAAUGAGCGUGAGGCAAGAGAGCGGUCAGGGUGUGGGAAAUACACUUGGUAUGAAUGACUGUGAGUAUGGACUGAUGCUCCCAGGCGUCAUCACAUGCUCACUGCUGCCUGUCCUCACCCAUCUGCACCGUGUGCGUCUUCAGCUGCAACUGGGCUGCUUGCUUAUCAUACCCAGGUGCCUGCCAAAUGGGAAAGCUGUCUUCAAAAAGAUAUAAGCGGGGAUGAUUCUUAUGCCAUUAUUGCUCAGGGUCUGCUGAAUGCUUGCAGGGCAAAGCAGUGCAUCCUUGAGAAUGUCUGAAAUGCUGCGUUAUAGGCGCACCAGUUGCAAAAUAGAUUUAAAUUACGUCGAGCAACAUGCUGCGGAAUUUAUGCUUCCAAUUUCUCCAUUUAGUGGUGAAUCAGGCUUGUUUGCAUUGCCAGCUAAUCUUUCUGCCAGAGUUGUUAAUGUGCUCUGACCCCUCUUUAACUCUGCAUGCUGAGCUUGCCAUUCAGCUUUUCUCUCUUAGCAGUGAAUCAGCCACAUGUGCCGGAGCCCCACUGCACAGCCCCUGUGGGCUGGAGGUGGCCUUGAGUGGCUUUUCCUGGUGAGACUCUGAGAUUUCAUUUGCUUGCAAGAAACCUGAGUUCUCUAGACGUUGCACCUUGCUUUCUCUGGAAGGCUUCCAGCAUUCAUUCUUGACAGGGAGCCAGCUCAGGCUGCCGUCCUGCUGCUGGAGGGCACUCCCAGCCUGGUGCUGUUGGGAAGCCCUGCUGCUCCCACACCAGCACGGUGCUUUUUGCACUGAGCGUGGCCCAAGUUGCAACUACAGCCCGUGACUCAUUUGCUCAGUGCUUGCCAAGGCUGCUGAGUGGCUCCUGCUGCUCCCAGGGUGCCUCCCGUGCCCUGUAGGCUGCUGCUGCAUCUCCCUUCAUGUUCUGCUGGCACCACAGAUGUCUGUGUACUGCACCUCCUUAAAAUGAUAGAAUCAUUCUGGUCGGAGAAGACCUCUGGGAUCCCCAGCCCAUCCCACCAAGCCCACUGACCAUACAUCCCUCAGUGCCCCACCUCCAUGCUCCCUGGGCACCCCCAGGAAUGGUGACCCCACCACUCCCUGGGCAGCCUGUCCUGGUGUGUUUCAGCUCUUUUGGAAAAUAAAUGUCCCCUAAUAUCCAACCUGAGCUCCCCUGGCACCACUUAAGGCCAUUCCCUAGACAUAAAACCCGAGAACCUUUAGGACCUCUAAGAUCAUCAGGUCCAACCAACCAACCCACCACCAUGACCACUCAUCCAAGUAUUUCUUUAGGGAGGAUGUAGGAUGCUGUAGAAGUGCUGUUCCCAGUGCCCAGCGUCUACUCAGGGCUCCCAUGUGUCUGAAGCAUAGCCAACCCGCCACUAAUGCCCCCUCCUCAGCUGGCGCUAUGGUGCAGUCCCACGUAGAGUAUGCCAAUGGGGAAUCCCUCCACGGUGCACUGAGGGCACACUGCCCCCGAUGCACCCGCACGCACGCAGCCUGCAAAAUCGAAUAACAACCAGUUUAAAAACAUACUAAAACCAGAAAAUUUAUGUAGCAUGACCCAAAUUGAAUUAUACAUUACAGCACUGUAAUUGAUUUUUUAGAAGAGAGAUUAAAUUUAUUUUAUGCCUCACUAACUAACAGCUAGAUUUACCUAAUUGCUUAGAGUGCAGAGUUAGUAUGAUUCAUUAAACCCCAUACAUGCCUGGGUACAUUACACUGUGACUAAAGCUUCCCUGCUUCGAGCAAUUAAAGUGGAGAAACUUGGGGCCUCAUAAGUAAUUGAAUAUAACAAUACGGCUUGGAGUUGCUGUGGAUGUCUUAUUAAGUUCUUCAAGCAAAAAGACACACGUUCCCUCUGUUCUCCAGUGAAUCAUUUUGUGAGAUUCUCUAUGACUGGUGUUGUUUUCUCCUAUUGCCAAAAAAUAAAAUAAAAUAAAAUAAAAAAUGGUAUCUACGA
Molecule: long non-coding RNA, 8381 nt
Organism: Gallus gallus (chicken)
Lineage: Eukaryota; Metazoa; Chordata; Aves; Galliformes; Phasianidae
Exons: 2
Source: RefSeq, a predicted model, not a curated record